This 207-nucleotide ribosomal RNA is filed under the name uncultured bacterium. Its description in RNAcentral is "partial 16S ribosomal RNA". It matches the Rfam family "Bacterial small subunit ribosomal RNA", at positions 568 to 775 of the family's 1533-position model. The record is from RNAcentral.
CGCGCAGGCGGCUCGUUAAGUCCAAGGUGAAAUCCCACGGCUCAACUGUGGGGGACCCUGGAUACUGGCGGGCUGGAGUGCGGGAGAGGGAAGCGGAAUUCCACGUGUAACGGUGAAAUGUAUAGAUAUGUGGAGGAACACCGGUGGCGAAGGCGGCUUCCUGGACCGUAACUGACGCUGAGGCGCGAAAGCUGGGGGAGCGAACAG